Molecule: long non-coding RNA, 814 nt
Organism: Aricia agestis (brown argus)
Lineage: Eukaryota; Metazoa; Arthropoda; Insecta; Lepidoptera; Lycaenidae
Exons: 3
Source: RefSeq, a predicted model, not a curated record
UUUAUAUAGUUCCCACUGUAUUUUUAAUAUAUUUGUACAAAGCACCAUAACACUUUUGGUUUUUUAGGAAAUCACUUAAUUGGCGGCGGGAGGUAUCACUUUCUUCAAUAAUUUCAGUUGCCAACACUAGUCUAUGAAAGGUGAAUCUUGAACAGUUGAAAAAAAUGUGAUUCAUGUCGGCGUUCUCUUCGUUACAAAAAGUGCAAUUAUUGCUGCUUAUUAUGUUCAAUCUCGCAAGGUGUGCAGGUGCAGUGUUAUGACCAAAUCUGAGUCUGUUUAUUGUUGUGAUAAAGUCACGGUUCGCUAUCUUCAGCUCAUUGUACCAUGGAUUUGUCGGAAAAUCCGGCACAAAGUUGGGGACAGCCCAGUCAGAAGAUCAUGAGGUGAAGCUAAUGGACCAUCUGUGAUGAUUGGGUGAGAUCGUGGAUGAGAGAAAUGAAGCUGUCUGAACAACUUCGUCCUCUACGGAACCCAUACUGAACUUGAGGAAUGAUGUUUUGAGAUUCUGCGUACCAAUCCAGGCGGUUCUUUAGCAUAUUUUCAAAUAUCUUACCAAUACAUGAUGAUAAAGAUAUUGGCCGAUAAGAACUGGCCUCCUCUGGUGGUUUAUCUUGUUUAAGUAUGGGUAUCACACAUUGAGUCUUCCAUGAGAUUGGUAUCAGUUUUUUAAGCCAAAGACAAUUUAAAAUACACAGUAAUAUUUUUUGGAUAGAUUCUGGUAGUUCUUUUAUUAAUAUAUACGGAAAAUCGUCCAAACCAGGGCUAGUAUUUUUUCUAGAUUUUAUACUUGUUAAAAAUUCUGACCAUGAGAAAG